This 457-nucleotide long non-coding RNA is filed under the name Homo sapiens (human). RNAcentral describes it as "uncharacterized LOC102723341, transcript variant 6 (LOC102723341)". Lineage: Eukaryota; Metazoa; Chordata; Mammalia; Primates; Hominidae. The record is from RNAcentral.
CUUUCCACGUUGCACAAGCCCAGCGCACGGUACCCACUGGAUAUGCCCGAGGCCUCCAGAGGAAAGGAAAGGAGGAAAAGGGACAGAAGAAAUGUUCACAGGAACUGCAUAUGGGCCUGCUACUUGUGUCAAAAUGUGACUGAACUCUCUUCCAGCAGCUUACUCUGAGGGAGGUCUGAAUGCCAUAUUGUGAGCGGCCCUGCUGAAAGACCCAUGUGGCAAGGAUCUGAGAUCAUUGGCCAACAGGCUGCAAAGAGUCCUACCAACAGCCAGGCUGGUGUUCUUGGAAGUGGAUCUUCUCCUACUCUCCUACUUGAGAUGACUGCAGCCCCAGCUAACACUUCGAUUGCAGCCUUGUUAAGAUAUCACGGGCCAGACACACCCAGCUAAGUUAUGCCUGAGUUACUAGCCCACAGAAAUGAUAAGAUAAUAAAUAUUUGCUGUUUUAAGCUGCUAA